RNAcentral lists this ribosomal RNA (253 nucleotides) under uncultured bacterium. Its description in RNAcentral is "partial 16S ribosomal RNA". It matches the Rfam family "Bacterial small subunit ribosomal RNA", at positions 524 to 776 of the family's 1533-position model. The record is from RNAcentral.
UACGUAGGGCGCAAGCGUUAUCCGGAAUUAUUGGGCGUAAAGAGCUCGUAGGCGGUUUGUCGCGUCUGCCGUGAAAGUCCGGGGCUCAACUCCGGAUCUGCGGUGGGUACGGGCAGACUAGAGUGAUGUAGGGGAGACUGGAAUUCCUGGUGUAGCGGUGAAAUGCGCAGAUAUCAGGAGGAACACCCGUGGCGAAGGCGAAUCUCUGGACCGGUUCUGACGCUGAGGAGCGAAAGCUAGGGGAGCAAACAGG